This is a long non-coding RNA of Eriocheir sinensis (Chinese mitten crab), 1083 nucleotides long. RefSeq lists it as uncharacterized. NCBI's taxonomy places the organism in Eukaryota, Metazoa, Arthropoda, Malacostraca, Decapoda, Varunidae. The transcript has 2 exons. The record is from RefSeq and is a predicted model, not a curated record.
AUCGAUGAGUGAAGAGUGAGACAAUUUUAAUGAUACCUGAAAGAACAGCCGCCAGGGGGGAAGAGGGGGGGUCACGGGUGAAGGUCAGAGAGAGAGAGAGAGAGAGAGAGAGAGAGAGAGAGAGAGAGAGAGAGAGAGAGAGAAAACGUGAUUAAGACCAACAAAGUAAAAGGAGAUUAAAAGGGGUUUCGAGCUGGAGGUAAAACGACCCCUGAUUGGCUGACUGACACUGGAGCAAGAGGGGAAUGAUCCAUCGAUUUGUGUGUGCGUGCGUGCGUGUGCCUGUGUGUGUGUGUGUGUGUGUGUGUGUGUGUGUGUGUGUGUGUGUGUGUGUGUGUGUAGGGAUAGAGGUGCAGGUUAAUCGAAGUACAGAAGCUCAAGGGGACAGGUCAAAUGGUGAGGUCAAAGAGAGAAGUCAAAGUAAGAGGUCAAAGUAAGAAGUCAAAGAGAGAGGUCAAAAGGAGAGAGGUCAAAGGAAGAGGUCUAAGGGAGAGAUCAAAGGGAGAGGUCAAAAGGAGAGGUCAAAAGGAGAGAGGUCAAAGGAAGAGGUCUAAGGGAGAGGUCAAAGGGAGAGGCCAAAAGGAGAGAGGUCAAAGUAAGAGGUCAAAGUAAAAGGUCAAAGGGAGGUCAAAAGAGGUCAAAGGGGGAAAGGUCAAAAGGAGAAGUCAAUAGAGGUCAAAAAAAGGUCAAAGGGAGGGUCAGACAGGUGUGGGAAUGAUGGGUUGCAGGUUUUAUUAAUUAGUGAAGGUCAGAGGGACAACAUUUACCUGCAUAUUAAAGGAGGUUCGCUUUUAAUUAUUAUUCGCUUAUCGCUUCGUGUCUCCCUGUAUCUAUUUUUUUUUUUUUUAAUCUAGUGAAUAUUAAACAAAAAGUGAAAAAAAUGCUCCACGAGGGAUGAUUAAUAUAUUUUUCCCGUCAGAUGCACGUUAUAAUUUUUCUUUCUCUCAACAAUGAAAACACGAAUUAUUAUUUAUUUUUUAACUGAAUGUGUAUAAAGGGAAAUUGGCGCAAGAGCGGGAUGGCAAGAGAGGGAUGUUUAAUAUAAAUGUUUUCUGUCAGAUGCAUGUCAGUAAUUUCUCUCUC